ACGAUGCGUAGGGGUUCUGAGAGGAAGGUCCCCCACACUGGUACUGAGACACGGACCAGACUCCUACGGGAGGCAGCAGUGAGGAAUAUUGGUCAAUGGCCGCAGGGCUGAACCAGCCAAGUCGCGUGAGGGAUGACGGUCCUAUGGAUUGUAAACCUCUUUUGUCAGGGAGCAAAGGGCGCCACGUGUGGCGUUUUGCGAGUACCUGAAGAAAAAGCAUCGGCUAACUCCGUGCCAGCAGCCGCGGUAAUACGGAGGAUGCGAGCGUUAUCCGGAUUUAUUGGGUUUAAAGGGUGCGCAGGCGGAAUGUCAAGUCAGCGGUAAAAUUUCGGGGCUCAACCCCGUCGUGCCGUUGAAACUGGCGUUCUUGAGUGAGCGAGAAGUAUGCGGAAUGCGUGGUGUAGCGGUGAAAUGCAUAGAUAUCACGCAGAACUCCGAUUGCGAAGGCAGCAUACCGGCGCUCAACUGACGCUCAUGCACGAAAGCGUGGGUAUCGAACAGGAUUAGAUACCCUGGUAGUCCACGCAGUAAACGAUGAAUACUAACUGUCCGGGCAGAAUGAUGCCUGG
This 569-nucleotide ribosomal RNA is filed under the name uncultured bacterium. RNAcentral describes it as "bacterial SSU rRNA". It matches the Rfam family "Bacterial small subunit ribosomal RNA", at positions 276 to 842 of the family's 1533-position model. The record is from RNAcentral.